Molecule: ribosomal RNA, 800 nt
Filed under: uncultured Arthrobacter sp.
Lineage: Bacteria; Bacillati; Actinomycetota; Actinomycetes; Micrococcales; Micrococcaceae
Description: bacterial SSU rRNA
Rfam family: Bacterial small subunit ribosomal RNA
Source: RNAcentral
AUCCGGUGCUUGCACCGGGGAUUAGUGGCGAACGGGUGAGUAACACGUGAGUAACCUGCCCUUGACUCUGGGAUAAGCCUGGGAAACUGGGUCUAAUACCGGAUAUGACUCCUCAUCGCAUGGUGGGGGGUGGAAAGCUUUUGUGGUUUUGGUUGGACUCGCGGCCUAUCAGCUUGUUGGUGAGGUAAUGGCUCACCAAGGCGACGACGGGUAGCCGGCCUGAGAGGGUGACCGGCCACACUGGGACUGAGACACGGCCCAGACUCCUACGGGAGGCAGCAGUGGGGAAUAUUGCACAAUGGGCGCAAGCCUGAUGCAGCGACGCCGCGUGAGGGAUGACGGCCUUCGGGUUGUAAACCUCUUUCAGUAGGGAAGAAGCGAAAGUGACGGUACCUGCAGAAGAAGCGCCGGCUAACUACGUGCCAGCAGCCGCGGUAAUACGUAGGGCGCAAGCGUUAUCCGGAAUUAUUGGGCGUAAAGAGCUCGUAGGCGGUUUGUCGCGUCUGCCGUGAAAGUCCGGGGCUCAACUCCGGAUCUGCGGUGGGUACGGGCAGGCUAGAGUGAUGUAGGGGAGACUGGAAUUCCUGGUGUAGCGGUGAAAUGCGCAGAUAUCAGGAGGAACACCGAUGGCGAAGGCAGGUCUCUGGGCAUUAACUGACGCUGAGGAGCGAAAGCAUGGGGAGCGAACAGGAUUAGAUACCCUGGUAGUCCAUGCCGUAAACGUUGGGCACUAGGUGUGGGGGACAUUCCACGUUUUCCGCGCCGUAGCUAACGCAUUAAGUGCCCCGCCUGGGGAGUAC